CGCUGUUGCUGAUGAGACCUACCACAGUUGUGUCAUCCGCAAACUUGAUGAUGUGGUUGGAGCUGAACUUGGCAGUGCAGUCGUGGGUCAGCAGCGUGAAGAGCAGUGGGCUGAGCACACAGCCUUGUGGGGCACCUGUGCUCAGUGUGGUAGUGCUCGAGGUGUUGUGGCCGACAUGGACUGACUGAGGUCUUCCAGUUAGAAAGUCCAGGAUCCAAUUACAGAGGGAAUUGUUAAGGCCCAGCAGGUUUAGUUUCUUAAUGAGCUGUUGUGGGAUUAUUGUGUUGAAUGCUGAGCCGAAUUCGAUGAACAGCAUUCUGACAUAGGAGUCUUUAUUUUCUAGGUGGGUAAGAGCCAGGUGGAGGGUGGAGGAAAUUGCAUCGUCUGUAGAUGCAUCUCCAUUGUAGAUGCUGUCUCCAUUUUCACACAAAUGGAGACUGCAUGAAGGAAAAGACUUAAUGUUGUUAUGGUUAUAUUUUUGAUUCUGCAGAACAUAAAAGGGGAUUUAUGAAAAUUCUAGUGUUAGCAAUUUGUUGUGCUUUUUAAUUUUUUAUUAGUUGUUGUUAUUUCCAUCCAUCAAUCCAUC
This is a long non-coding RNA of Cyprinus carpio carpio, 586 nucleotides long. The record is from Ensembl. Lineage: Eukaryota; Metazoa; Chordata; Actinopteri; Cypriniformes; Cyprinidae.